This 482-nucleotide ribosomal RNA is filed under the name uncultured bacterium. Its description in RNAcentral is "partial 16S ribosomal RNA". It matches the Rfam family "Bacterial small subunit ribosomal RNA", at positions 30 to 507 of the family's 1533-position model. The record is from RNAcentral.
AUUGAACGCUGGCGGCAUGCCUUACACAUGCAAGUCGAACGGUAACAGGUCUUCGGAUGCUGACGAGUGGCGAACGGGUGAGUAAUACAUCGGAACGUGCCCGAUCGUGGGGGAUAACGAAGCGAAAGCUUUGCUAAUACCGCAUACGAUCUACGGAUGAAAGCAGGGGACCGCAAGGCCUUGCGCGAACGGAGCGGCCGAUGGCAGAUUAGGUAGUUGGUGGGAUAAAAGCUUACCAAGCCGACGAUCUGUAGCUGGUCUGAGAGGACGACCAGCCACACUGGGGCUGAGACACGGCCCAGACUCCUACGGGAGGCAGCAGUGGGGAAUUUUGGACAAUGGGCGAAAGCCUGAUCCAGCCAUGCCGCGUGCAGGAUGAAGGCCUUCGGGUUGUAAACUGCUUUUGUACGGAACGAAAAGACUCUGGUUAAUACCUGGGGUCCAUGACGGUACCGUAAGAAUAAGCACCGGCUAACUACGUG